UUUUUUUUUUUUUCCUAGAGUAUUCAGCUUUCAAGUUCGUUCUGUCCCUUAGAAAGCUGACAAAUGGAAGAACAAAACAAAUACAUUUCACUUACAGAACAUUAAUCAAGCAGGAACUCCAUGAACUGAACAAAUUUGAAUUGUGGCAAACCUUCCACUCCCCCAAAAAAUACCCACAGCUGAUGACUGAAGUAUCAAAAUUGCCUCAUUUUCCCACUGAAAAAUGCCUGAAACCAGAUGGGGUUCCCCAAAGACAUAUGGUCUGAGCUUUUACUCAUAUUAAAGCAAAAUUCAGAUCUAAUUAUUUUAAUCCACCAUAGCUAAUCCUAUCUACCUCAAAGUAACCAGCAUAGCUCUCUUUCCUCUGCUUGUUAAAUGAGUAGUAUAUACUCUGUUUUUCCCUGCUUUAAGAGUACAAGAUAAGUAGUUCUUAGGAGCAGCAAUUCACUCCUCUACAUAACAUAUACAUUUCUUCUUCAGCUUCUGGGAGGGAAGUCCUCCAUUUUGCUUUCUAAUUUGAAGCUCUGUCUUAUGAGCACACAUCCCUCAUUUGUUUUUUUGUGUGGGUUUUUUUUUUUUUUUUCCCCAAAAAACACAUCUGUGGAAGCUUUAGUUACACCACCAGCAGACAGAAGAAGAAACCCACACCUACAGUAACACAGGUCAUUAAUCAGUUCAUAAAAUUAUUGUCAAGAUCUGGACUAAGUUCACAGACUACUUGGUGUUCAUAAAGUUUUCACUGAACAUCUGUAGAGAGUUUGGGAGUCUACAGCACUUAAUACAAUUGAUUUAGCUGAGAUUAUAAGGAGAGAGAAGGAGAGAGAAGGAGAGAGAAGGAGAGAGAAGGAGAGAGAAAGAAAACACAGCUCAUUUUCAGCCUACAUAUCUUAGCGUAUCUCCACUUGCGGUAAAGAACAUCUUCCACCUGGCAAAUUUUAAUCUUUUUCCUCGAAUUUGUCCUCAAACACUCUUUGCUGUCCUACUUGCCCCUUUAAUUCUGCAGUAAUUUCCUCUUCAUCCAACAUCACAUGUCAUCCAGAUCAUUUAAUUUAGCUACAUCCAUCUCAUAUGAGCAAAAAGCUAGGACACAGGUUGUCUGCUGCAACAGGCUUCAGGGUCAAAAUCAGCUGUGCAAAACUGCAGUUCAGUGGUGGCUUCAUUAAAGGCAGCCCUUCUUCACUGUGAAUAGUGUUUGCUUAACAGGAUGUUAAUGGUUGCAAAGGAAAGGGUAUUUUACAGUCACACACAGACUGUUACUUACUGUAAUGGCAAAAACUAAAGAUUUAACUCAUAAUAGAUGAGGGGAGGUCUUUUUAAAUCUUACUUUCCUUAGGUCAGAUAGAAAACUGCACAUUUUGAUAAACUCGACUCAUCUUGUAGACCCUACAUUUAAGAUGUUCCAAGGCAGCCAACUGAAACAAACACAUUGUUCAUCCAUUAUAAUACCAAUUUCCAAGAAAUAGAAUUUGAGACAAAUAAGAGGUUUACAAGCCAUGAAAACACCACAAGUAAAUGCACACAUAAAAGUUUCAAAUUAAGAAUUCACUAACAUUAGUUACAAUGAUACAAACGUUUACGUAAAAAUUAUUUUGGGUAAUGAGACUUGUUGAUAUGCAAGAAGUACUAUGACAGCUCCUCAGCUGCAUAACCAGUUCUUUUACAUGGUAAAUAACCAAGGAGAAUCAAGCCGGUUCUAUGAAAACAGAUAGUGUCCAGUGCAAAGAAAAAGAAUUCAACACUGUGAGAUCGCCUGCUCAAGAAACUGAAAAAACACUCAAACUAUCAUGUCCCUUCUCCGAUUUUAACAUUGAUUCUACCCUGGAACUCACAUUUGAGUUCUUUCUACAAAUAUAUAUAAGUGCAAUUUCAGCAACAGAUAACAAAAAUAGGAAAAAAAAAAAGAUUAUGAAAUUGAUUAAAAUUGUUGUUUCCAAAUUAGUGUUAAAAAGCAAAAGUCAGAAUUAAAUGCUGGUCACUCCUGCGGCUGAUCAAACACACUUACUAUUGCCAUAUGUAAGUCACCCUUGAAAUGGAAGCACAAGUAGCUCCAAACCAUCCUAUCCUUUUGAAACUCUGCUUCCAAAUGUGUACAGCAUUUGAACACAGUGAAAAUCCACAGUUAGAGAUAUCAGGUGUUGGUCUGAUUUUCUACAACCAAAAAUAAGUUCCCACUUAAAACUUUGAUUCCCCACUAGGGAUGUAAGUGGCUGCCCUCCCUUCCCACUUGUAUCCCCAGGCCACCCAUGAAGGUAAAACAAUUGCAUAACAAAUAUCAGAUGAGAUGGCAUUUACCCUUCUGUGCCUGCACAAGAGCUGCAGCCGGUCGCGGGGCCUCUUUGCAGAAGCACUGUGUGAGGAAGCAACCCUGGGAACACUUUUCAAGGCUGCUCUCCUCAACGUGGGUCAGCACAGGCCACAGCUGGAAACUAAGGUCAAAAGGAGGCUGGUGCACACCUGGGUUGCAGCAUGCUGGAAGAUGAGCAUAUCCAGUCAGAAGCACCCAGCCAGCAGUCAGGGGACGCAGCAGAAGUCCAAGGUCAUCCAGAGAAACCCUUUUGCCCUGGCCCUGAGAUAAAGCGAGGCAGCAGUUCUCAGAAAAGUGCCUGCUGAAGGGGGAGAAUGGAAUGGGAAGGAGGAGCAACAGAUCCAUCCCACCGCCUCCUCCUUUUCAACUCCAGCUGCUUGCUGGAGCAGGGGGCUUCAUGCAUUUGUCACAAAAGAACAAUGCUGCCACAAAGAAAUUCCUAAUUUUUUACAUCGCUCUGCUUCCUAAUGUAAAUAACCUGAAUUAGCAUAGCAAACCAAAAGGCAUGCCAGCAUACAUAGCAAAUGUUACCAAGAAUAUCCACAGCCUUUCAUCUAAAAAACAAAACAGAACAAACAAGCAAACAAAAAAAGACAAAUAGCUUAAGAAAGUGAUAUUUGUUUUUGCUCUCAUCUCUUGAAUCUUCUUGACUGUCCAAAGAAAAGCAUUUUAAGGACACUUUAAGGAUACACUGGCACAUGUUUCAUGGUGGAGUGCUAUUCUUUUGCUCCUCACUCCUAUGACAGACAAUUCCAGGAAGCUGCAAGUCCUGAGAUCAGCCUCUUCUGUAAGCACAGUCCAGCAGCAAGGUCAAAAAGGGAACGGUAGCCAUAAAUGAAUUUUGAAUGCUACUUCUAAUUCUAUUUGUGCUUUUUUCCUCAUUCAGUUAGCUUGUAUAGAAGACUAAAGAAAACAUGCAACACCUCUCUCUCAAAGGGGAAGCAUUUAUACACUUAGAUUUCAAAGUCUGCCCUUUCUUUUUUUUUUUCUUUUUAAUUUCUAUCUUUUUUUUCCUAAUGCCUUUAUUCCUUCCAGAGAGCAAUGAGAAGAGAUGUGCACACACACACACACACACACACAGAAAAAAAAAAAAAAAAAAAAAAAA
Gallus gallus (chicken) is the source of this 3410-nucleotide long non-coding RNA. Lineage: Eukaryota; Metazoa; Chordata; Aves; Galliformes; Phasianidae. The record is from Ensembl.